Molecule: small RNA, 286 nt
Organism: Paenalcaligenes hominis
Lineage: Bacteria; Pseudomonadati; Pseudomonadota; Betaproteobacteria; Burkholderiales; Alcaligenaceae
Rfam family: 5' ureB small RNA
Source: Rfam
CUUCUUCGACUUGUUGCGGGCAAAUAAAGUGAAUGUGGGUAUCAAUAGCGCCAGCUGUUAGGAUCAUGCCCUCGCCGGCAAUGACUUCGGUAGAGGCGCCAAUGACAAUGGUCACGUUAGGCUGGGUAUCUGGGUUGCCUGCUUUACCAAUGCCUGCGAUCAAACCAUUUUUGAUGCCUACAUCCGCUUUGAUGAUGCCUAUGAUGGCGUCGAUAAUCAGCGCAUUAGUAAUCACCGUGUCCACACAAUCAGCGCUUAAGCGCUGACUUUGGCCCAUCCCAUCACG